Rhagoletis zephyria (snowberry fruit fly) is the source of this 193-nucleotide long non-coding RNA. RefSeq lists it as uncharacterized. The record is from RefSeq and is a predicted model, not a curated record. Lineage: Eukaryota; Metazoa; Arthropoda; Insecta; Diptera; Tephritidae.
UUAUCGUUUGUUAAAAAAUUUUUGCCAAUAAUAUUUAUGUAAAUACUCCCUGAUGAAGACGCGUGAGCGUUGAAACGCGUAGGAGGGUAAAAGGAAAAUUUAAUUUUUUCGCUUUUUUAACUCUAUCGGCCGAAGCAGCUCCAACCCAGCAAACAUAACAAAUAAGAAUUUGGCCCAAAUAAUUAUAAUUAUA